UAUGAUGUCUCCGACGGUCAAAGGCCGAUUGGCUCUUAGCUAGAGAGAAAGACGCCCAUAACCAGCAUGGCUUUGAAAACCGUGUUCUAGAGAGGAACAAGAGAAGUUUUAACAGUCAUCUAGAACCAUCCUCACUUGCAGAGCACGUGCCUGAGUCCCACUAAACUAGACUAAGGAAACCGUUAGCACGUGUGAGCGAAGUCGUCAUUUCACACCGCACCGUCGCCGCCGCACCUGUUCCGUCCGCAAGCGGCAGCAAUCCCAUGUUAGGGUCAUCGAUCGAGUGAAGCAGCUCGGGUGGGAGAUCCGGCGAGUCCUCCGGGAAGCCAAGAUGAUGAGGAAAUCGCGGCCGGGCGAGGGCGACCUCGAUCGCCUGCUACUAGUCAGCGGUGACCGAGGGGGCCUCUCGUUCGUUGUUCGUUCGAAGGAAACCGCUUCGGCAAAUAGGUGGUCUCCUUAUCUCCUCGUGACAACAGAGCUGGAGCUUUUAGUGUAGCCUGAGCUUGCUGAGAUAUCACGAAGGUGAUUACAAUGUUGCUUCAAUUUUAUGGAUCUGUUAACAGCUGCAAUAGCUUCCAAUAUUAAGCGGAUUUGCAUCUCUUAUUCAAUUUGGUCUGAAUUUACUGUUCCAAUAUCACAACUAGAUGCAAAUUUUUCUGUCUUUAUUCAGAAUUUUUUUGGAAAGAAUUUGUCCAAAGUAAAUAUACAAGUCAAGUUCAUAAACUGCUACAAUAUUUAGAGAGUUAAUUGAGUUUGGAUUUGCGUGAUGUGAAA
Molecule: long non-coding RNA, 774 nt
Organism: Musa acuminata AAA Group (dessert banana)
Lineage: Eukaryota; Viridiplantae; Streptophyta; Magnoliopsida; Zingiberales; Musaceae
Exons: 2
Source: RefSeq, a predicted model, not a curated record